This 251-nucleotide non-coding RNA is filed under the name uncultured Oribacterium sp. RNAcentral's name for it is "RAGATH-8 RNA". It matches the Rfam family "RAGATH-8 RNA". The record is from RNAcentral. Lineage: Bacteria; Bacillati; Bacillota; Clostridia; Lachnospirales; Lachnospiraceae.
AAUAAAGCAAGUAGGAAACGGAAGUCUUCAAUGGGGCUGCAUUCGAGUGACAUGGUGGUCAGGCUGCUGAGAGAGCAGACAGAGGAUGUGAAGAAUAGAGGGCUUUCAAUGAACUGAAGAAAGCACGGACUUCGGAAAGUAGGCACAGAGUUCUGAACUCAGCAGAAAACAGAACAGGUUGAGCCGAUCAGCACCAAUACCCGAAGAGAGGGCGGAAGAAUCAGUCAAACGAGAUGACACAGCACUUUAUU